UGCGGAGGGGGCUAGCGUUGUCCGGAUUUAUUGGGCGUAAAGAGCGUGUAGGCGGCCAGGUAGGUCUGCUGUGAAAACUCGAGGCUCAACCUCGAGACGUCGGCGGAAACCAUCUGGCUAGAGUCCGGAAGAGGAGAGUGGAAUUCCUGGUGUAGCGGUGAAAUGCGCAGAUAUCAGGAAGAACACCCGUGGCGAAGGCGGCUCUCUGGGACGGUACUGACGCUGAGACGCGAAAGCGUGGGGAGCGAACAGG
This 253-nucleotide ribosomal RNA is filed under the name uncultured bacterium. Its description in RNAcentral is "partial 16S ribosomal RNA". It matches the Rfam family "Bacterial small subunit ribosomal RNA", at positions 524 to 776 of the family's 1533-position model. The record is from RNAcentral.